This is a long non-coding RNA of Bicyclus anynana (squinting bush brown), 953 nucleotides long. RefSeq lists it as uncharacterized. The transcript is spliced from 2 exons. NCBI's taxonomy places the organism in Eukaryota, Metazoa, Arthropoda, Insecta, Lepidoptera, Nymphalidae. The record is from RefSeq and is a predicted model, not a curated record.
UGACUGGUGAUUAGGUAUGUGAUUUCUCAUGUGUGAAAUAUAAAAUAGUACAUUAUUUUUAAUGUUGACUGUUGACGCUGACGCCGCGCGAUUUCACCCGCGUGGUUCUCGUUAACGUAGGAAUACGGGAUAAUAUAAUAUAACCUAUAGACUACCUCGAUAAAUAGGCUAUCUAACACUGGAAGAAUUUUUCAAAUCGGACCAGUAGUUCCUGAGAUUAGCGCGUUCAAUCAAACAAACAAACUCUUCAGCUUUAUAUAUUAGUAUAGAUAUAGAUACAGAAUAAAAUUAUUUAAAAAAAAAUACAAUAAAGGUGUCAAGUAAUUCGUACACGAUUGUAAUGGCAUCAACAUGUUGCUAUGGUUACGCGUGGCACAUCUUACAUACGUCACUAAUACCCGAAAAUGCGUUGCUGCGUUUAGUUCAACUUAAAGACGGCGCACUAUACCAAACUAUGCACCCAAUUUUAAUACGGACGAUGCCGCAUGCAAAAACUGGUAUGUACAAAUACAAAUUAUAUUAGGUUUUUAUCUUUAGCAUGCGUUAAAAAUAGUAAAUUAAUUUUUUACACUGUGUUAGCUUAUGAAUAAAUACGUAGUGUGGUUUUCUUUUUGAUUAUUUUUGUAGUGGUUUUUAUUUGUUACAAGUGUAACUGCAAGGUUUUGUCGUUAACAUGAAGUUUCUUGGUUUCUUAUUACUUAGUAUUGUAGCUCUAUGUACUUUAUUUAUUAAUCAAGUGGAGUCACAGGUGAACCCGAUACAGUUCGCCACGUGCACGAGCAAUGCGGACUGUACCCGGAUGUGCAACAGGAGGUGUGACCCCGGCGCCACUUCCGGCCUCUGCAUGAGCAGUGUGUGCUACUGUGCCUUACGCUCUAACGCCUGACCUUUGGGACCUUUUGACCAUUAGGACUCUAUACUGACUCGUAAUUCAAUGGAUGAAAUAUAAAAAG